Molecule: ribosomal RNA, 1401 nt
Filed under: uncultured organism
Description: bacterial SSU rRNA
Rfam family: Bacterial small subunit ribosomal RNA
Source: RNAcentral
CUUACACAUGCAAGUCGAGGGGUAACGAUGGUGCUUGCACCAGGCGACGACCGGCGGACGGGUGAGUAACGCGUAUGCAACCUACCUAUUGCAGGAAGAUAGCCCGAGGAAACUCGGAUUAAUAUUCCAUAAUAUCAUUUUUACACAUGUAUUAAUGAUUAAAGCUACGGCGGCAAUAGAUGGGCAUGCGUACCAUUAGCUAGUUGGUGAGGUAACGGCUCACCAAGGUUACGAUGGUUAGGGGGUCUUAAAGGAUGAUCCCCCACACUGGUACUGAGACACGGACCAGACUCCUACGGGAGGCAGCAGUGAGGAAUAUUGGGCAAUGGACGCAAGUCUGACCCAGCCAUGCCGCGUGCAGGAUGACUGCUCUAGUAGUUGUAAACUGCUUUUCUAUUUCAUGAACCCCUCUGACGUGUCAGGGGCUGACAGUAGAAUAGGAAUAAGCAUCGGCUAACUCCGUGCCAGCAGCCGCGGUAAUACGGAGGAUGCAAGCGUUAUCCGGAUUUACUAGGUUUAAAGGGUGCGUAGGCGGGGUAUCAAGUCAGUGGUGAAAUCCUGCAGCUCAACUGUAGAACUGCCAUUGAAACUGAUAUUCUUGAGUAUAGUUGAGGUAGGCGGAAUGUGUUAAGUAGCGGUGAAAUGCAUAGAGAUAACACAGAACACCGAUUGCGAAGGCAGCUUACUAAACUAUUACUGACACUGAGGUACGAAAGCGUGGGGAGCGAACAGGAUUAGAUACCCUGGUAGUCCACGCCGUAAACGUUGAUCACUAGUUGUUUGCGAUACAUUGUGAGCGACUGAACAAAAGCAUUAAGUGAUCCACCUGGGGAGUACGUUGGCAACGAUGAAACUCAAAGGAAUUGACGGGGGCCCGCACAAGCGGAGGAACAUGUGGUUUAAUUCGAUGAUACGCGAAGAACCUUACCUGGGCUUGACAUCCCGGGAAUUUCCCGGAAACGGGAAAGUGCCCUCCGGGGAGCCUGGUGACAGGUGCUGCAUGGCUGUCGUCAGCUCGUGUCGUGAGAUGUUGGGUUAAGUCCCGCAACGAGCGCAACCCUUAUCUUCAGUUACCAGCAUUUCGGGUGGGGACUCUGAAGAUACUGCCCCGGUCAACGGGGAGGAAGGUGGGGAUGACGUCAAGUCCUCAUGGCCUUUAUGCCCAGGGCUACACACGUGUUACAAUGGUCGAAACAAAGGGCAGCUACUUGGUGACAAGAUGCUAAUCUCUAAAAUCGAUCUCAGUUCGGAUCGAAGUCUGCAAUUCGACUUCGUGAAGUUGGAUUCGCUAGUAAUCGCGCAUCAGCAAUGGCGCGGUGAUACGUUCCCGGGCCUUGUACACACCGCCCGUCAAGCCAUGGAAGCUGGGGGUACCUGAAGUCUGUAACCGAGAGGAGCGGC